UCAAUGAUGAUAAUGACAUUAGUUGAAGAAGAAGCUCCGGCUAACUCCGUGCCAGCAGCCGCGGUAAUACGAGGGGGGCUAGCGUUGGUCGGAAUCACUGGGCGUAAAGCGUAUGUAGGCGGAUCAGAAAGUUAGAUGUGAAAUCCCUGGGCUCAACCCAGGAACUGCAUUUAAAACUAAUGAUCUAGAAUUUGGUAGGGGUUAGUAGAAUUUCCAGUGUAGAGGUGAAAUUCGUAGAUAUUGGAAAGAAUACCAGUGGCGAAGGCGGCUAACUGGGCCAUUUUUGACGCUAAGAUACGAAAGCGUGGGUAGCAAACAGGGUUAGAUACCCUGGUAGUCCACGCAGUAAACGAUGAGUGCUAGUCGCUGGGACAAUAGUUUCAGUGUCGUAGCUAACGCAUUAAGCACUCCGCCUGGGAAGUACGGUCGCAAGAUUAAAACUCAAAUAAAUUGACGGGGGCCCGCACAAGCGGUGGAGCAUGUGGUUUAAUUCGAAGCAACGCGAAGAACCUUACCAGACCUUGACAUGGUGUGUUUGAAUUACAGAAUCGUAAUUCUUCAGUUCGGCUGGCACACACACAGGUGCUGCAUGGCUGUCGUCAGCUCGUGUCGUGAGAUGUUGGGUUAAGUCCCGCAACGAGCGCAACCCUCAUUAUUAGUUGCCAUCAGGUUAUGCUGGGCACUCUAAAAAAACUGCCGGUGAUAAGCUGGAGGAAGGCGGGGAUGACGUCAAGUCCUCAUGGCCCUUACGGUCUGGGCUACACACGUGCUACAAUGGUGGUGACAGUGGGCAGCAAUAUCGCAAGAUAAAGCUAAUCCCAAAAAACCAUCUCAGUUCGGAUUGGACUCUGCAACUCGAGUCCAUGAAGUUGGAAUCGCUAGUAAUCGUAGAUCAGCGUGCUACGGUGAAUACGUUCUCGGGCCUUGUACACACCGCCCGUCACGCCAUGGGAGUUGGUUUUACCUUAAGCCGGUGCGCUGACCGCAAGGAGGCAGC
This 997-nucleotide ribosomal RNA is filed under the name uncultured Alphaproteobacteria bacterium. Its description in RNAcentral is "bacterial SSU rRNA". It matches the Rfam family "Bacterial small subunit ribosomal RNA", at positions 457 to 1453 of the family's 1533-position model. Lineage: Bacteria; Pseudomonadati; Pseudomonadota; Alphaproteobacteria. The record is from RNAcentral.